Callithrix jacchus (white-tufted-ear marmoset) is the source of this 5120-nucleotide long non-coding RNA. RefSeq lists it as uncharacterized. NCBI's taxonomy places the organism in Eukaryota, Metazoa, Chordata, Mammalia, Primates, Cebidae. The record is from RefSeq and is a predicted model, not a curated record.
GGAAAACUGUAGUCUAUGCACAAAAAGUGAAGACAAUAGCUCAUUUAGAUCUGUGCGAAGAACAGCUCUUCCCCACGACACUGACAGCAUUAUAAGUCUUUUCCCUUCUAUUUAAUGCUAUGAAGGAAAAGGCAGUUGGGGUAUUUAGACUGGAGGCAGACCUACAUCCGAAGAGAAUCAGGCACAAUGUUCCAGCCACGCGCUAUGGGCAGACACCCCACUCUGGAGAGUCCUUCAAUCUCCUGAGCAGCCCUGCAGCCUCUCUGGUGGCUAACCUGGCCAGCAUCUCCAUCUGCUCCCCGCCAUGGACAAUGAAUGAAACUGCUAAUGGAAGCACCCUGAGACGCAUGCCACGCCUGGGAGGCAGAGGGACAGUGCCUGACAAAGCCUGCAAAAAGGGACUGUCACAUCAAGAAGGGAGUGAAGCAGUGACGGAGAGAAGCAUGCCAGAAUGGGGAGGACGCUGCUGGUGACCAUCACCUGGCCUGCGUGAGAGGCCGGGUAGACUGAGCUGGCCUUUCAGGAGGACGGAGACUCGAGGCCAAGGCCCGUGCCAGGCUCCAUGGCUGGCCUCCUCUGAAGGUCUGUCCUGGACACCCUGCAGCUUCAGCUUUCACCCCAGGGACAAGGAUCUUUGCCCUGCCUGAACUGGAGUUUGACUCUGACUCAUGUCAGGAGAGAAAAGCACAGACUGGCUCUGUCUUCAGAGUCCAUCCUGGGACUCUGGGCUGCUAAGCCACGCUCUCAAGAACUCAGUUCCGUCCACUGUGAGGGGCCUGGCUGGGCUGCUUGACAGACAAGGACCCCGCCAGCUCCCCAUCCUGGGAUGCCUCAGAAGCUUGCCUGAGGCACAAUGGAGGUAAUUGACCAUUUCACUAGUGGCACAGAAACAAGGGGCAAUGUGAACACAGGAAUACCAGGUAAACUAAGACUACAGUACAGUUAUGUAAGAUUAGCUGGGGCUCAACACUAAUCUCCUCCCCUCCCACACCCUGCAAAGACCACAGCCACCUGCUUCUCCAACACAACUGAAACUACACGGAAAGAAACGCCUCAGAAGUCCUCCUAAACUUAAACUUUCACCCGAGUGAAAGCACAGGCUUAGGUCUAGAUACUUUCAAUGCCUUGAUCUUAGCUAUAAGAUCUAAAUUUUGGCCAGGUGCGGUGGCUCACGCUUGUAAUCCCAGCACUUUGGGAGGCCGAAGCAGGUGGAUCACUGGAGGUUGGGAGUUCAAGACCAGCCCGACCAACAUGAAGAAACCCUGUCUCUACUAAAAAUAUAAAACUAGCCAGGUGUGGUGGCAUAUGUCUGUAAUCCCAGCUACUUGGGAGACUGAGGCAGGAUAAUCGCUUGAACCUGGGAGGCAGAGGUUGCAGUGAGCCAAGAUCACACCAUUGCACUCCAGCUUGGGCAACAAGAGCAAAACUGUCUCAAAAAAAAAAAAAAAAAUCUAAGUUUUGCACAGUAUCACAAUAGACAAACCUGGAAUAGUAAAACAUGACAACGUAUAUUCUCAUCAGGGACCACCUUCUAUGGGACAUCUGACCAUUGGAACCUGCCCUACCCUCAAUCCAUCAUCAGAUAACCUUACCUGCUUAAUAGCUAUAAGGCCCUGUGUUAAAUGCUGCUAAAAAUACAGAAAUGACAAUGACUAGGUCUCCCCGGUGCCCAGAGCUUAGAGUGUGGCUGCCGUGCCUAUCUGAGAAAGCCAGAUAUGCGCUCAUAAAAAGCUGCAUGCCGGACAGAGGCUGGGAUGCUCGUCAAAAUAUUUAACAGCCUGUACGGCCAGGCACCAACCAGUCAGAAAAGACACAGGCCAGUGCACCAGAACGGGGCUCAGAAGUUCCUCUGCUGCCCCAGGUACUAACCCGUUAGUUUCUGAAUUAAGGGUGGGGCACCUGGGGUAGCAGCUAUUCUCUACCUAGGAUGGGAGCAUUUCGACGUUUUAACCACCAGUAUGGUCGCUGAUGCAUUCCAACUGAAUGACAGCGUAGCUGAGGAAGGGGAAAGUCACUCUGGGAAAAGUGCCUCUGAGGAGCAGGGCUCUGUGGGACAAUGGCACUCCAAAUAGGCCGAGUUGGGCAUUGUACCAUUUAGAUGUACAUUUUUUUUGGAGACAGAUUCUCACUCUAUACCCCAGGCUGGAGUGCAGUGGUGCCAUCUCAGCUCACUACAACCUCUGCCUCCGGGGCUCAGGUGAUUCUCCUGCCUCAGCCUCCUGAGUAGCUGUGAUUACAGGCGUGCACCAGCACAGCCAGCUAAGUUCUAUACUUUUAGUGGAGUCAGGGUUUCACCAUGUUGGCCAGGCUGGUCUCGAAGUCCUGACCUCAGGUAAGCCACCCACCUCGGCCUCCCAAAGAGCUGCAAUGAUGUGAGCUACCACACCUGGCCUAGAUGUACUCAACACAAACUUUAUCCCAACAAAAGCACAGGCUUGGGUCAAGAGAUUUUCAAUGUCGUGAUCUUAGUUGUAAGAUCAAGGAUACCAUCAGACCAGGACACCGGAAGUCAGUCGGGCGGUUGACAGCACCCAUGUUCAAUUUCUUGGGUAUACAGACCCAUUAACCCUGUGCCACCAGAGCUCGCUGUAUGUGAAGCCUCAGCAUACGGUGGUUUAGGGAGGUGUAGAGACAGCAGGUAGGAACCAAGCUGCAGAAGCAUCAGAGAGGCAAGGUGAAUAAAGACCUGGGGCCUUACGGAGGGGAGCCUGGAAGGCCUCUGCUCAGGACGGAUUUGAUCAGAGCCAUGCUUUAGAAAAAGCAACCCUCCCCCUCUGCACCCUCCCCCACUUCCUAACAAGGGCCUUCACUGUUUAAAUUGCAGGUGACCAUUCUGGAUCAGAAUGGCAAUACUGAGAAGGCAAGGAGGAAAUGCGUGUGCGUUGGGCAAUACUGCACAGAGUAGGAAUAAGCAGAACUGCUGACCGAAUGGACUUCUAGGCAGAAAUCAAGGGUGACACAGAGGUCUGGCCACUCUCUGAACAGGCACAGGGCCCAGAAACAAAGUCCACAUGUGUGCCAUGGCCAGAGGGGCAGCCAGGCUGUGUCACCUUGGCCAAGUCACCCCUCUCCCUGCCCUGCAAUCACUGCACAGGUGCAACGAAUGAGUAAGGCUUAUUUCAGUGUUGCUCUGAAGUCCCUCAGAGGUGGCAAGGGAGACAGAGGAAGCCCUUCAACCACUGCAGUCCUGCUUUUAUGCAUUUCAUCUCUCAGCAUUCUGCCUAAAAUCCCACUGGGAAAAAGAGACCCAUAACUACUAGGCAACGCUACUGUGCCUUCGAACCCUGAAAAGUCACAAUUUUAUUCUCUUGUCUAUUGAAAGUGCUGAAUAUCAUCUAGAAUACACUGGGAAGGUCUGUUUCUGAUCAAAAGUACCCCAAGAUACACAGCAGAAAGCAAACCUAUGUGCACAGUGAGGCCAGUCUCCUACAUUAGUGAGCGCUGCUCCACCAUCUGCUGAGCCUGGGUCCCGUUCCCAGCUGGAAUGUGCUCUCUUUCCCCAGCAAACUGGAUGCAUUAAUCACAUAUCUGAAUUGUUCUCCAGCCUUACAAGACCAACGUCUAGGGCAGGUAAAGCCUUUUAUUUUUUAAUUCUCUAGAAAGUCACAGCUACAUAGCAAGUGAUCUUAUCACUCUCUGAGCCAAGCCGAAUCAAAAUCUGUGGUCUCUUUCAGCACUCUAGUGGUAUAAAGAGAUAAUUCAAGGCAGAAUGUAAAUGAGAUGGGGGGAAAUCAAGGAGCAGUGACACUGAAGCAGACCCAGCUCUGUCCUUCCUGUCUUACUGACAUCUGCAUAGGCUGGAACUUACUUUAAUUUUUUUAGUAGACGGAGUCUCACUCUGUCUCCCAGACUGGAUCGCUGCAACCUUUGCCUCCCCAGUUCAAGUGACCCUCCUGCCUCAGCUGGGACUACAGGCACGUGCCACCAAGCCUGGUUAAUUUUUGUAUUGAGACGGGGUUUCACCAUGUUGGCCAGGCUGCUCUGGAACUCCUGACCUCAGGUAAUCCACCCACCUUGGCCUCCCAAAGUGGUGGGAUUACAGGCGUGAGCCACUGCGCCAGGCCUAAUCUGGAACUUUCUAGGCCCUCCUGGACUGAGAAACUUCUAGCUCUGGAGGGGCAGUAGAGCCAAGGAAUUGGGAGCACUGACCCUGAAGCCAGACUGCCUACGUUGAAAUUCUGGUUUGAGCAACUUAAUCUGUGCACCUGUCCCUUUAUCUUGCAUACAGUAAGGACGGCAGCAGGACCGACCACACAGGGUUGCUGGGGGUACUAAUGAGCUAACACAUCCGAAGCCUAGCAGCGCCUGGCUCUGUCGGCUGCUAUCAUUACUGCUCCGUUCCUAAGCCUGGCCGUGUCCAGGCUAUGGCCACCACCUCGGUCAGUUACCACAGGUCUGCUUUGUGGUACACACCUGAGCCUGGAGGGAGAAACUAGCUCCUGAAGCGCUUUCUCAGGACUCCGCGUAACAAAGGAAUAAACAGUAUUCCGAGUAUUUCAGUCCUCCUUAUAGGGACAUUUCUCCCACAGCACACCUCAGUGGAAAGAGCCCAUUUCUACAGGAGCCAGAGCUGUGCUAAUGGAUAGAUUCUACAUUUAUCGGAAGUCCGCUCCAGAAUGAGGAAAUGGUUUACAAGCAGGCCACGUUUCCUUCUCUGAUGCCCUAACUUCUUUCCAUUUAUCUUCCAAACCAUGAAAUCCCUAUUUCAACCGCUUCUGAGUAGAAUACACGAAUCCAAAAGUCCAUUAAACCUAUUCAUUCGUAAAAACACUUUUCAAAUUAUUGUUAAUUUCAAGAGUUUUAAAGCAGAACAUGCUUCUCUUUUUAAAAAAAAAAAAAAAAAGAUGUAUUUAAACAUGUAAUAAAGGUUGGUAAACUGUUCUGAAAAUUAUCCAGUAGGGAAAAGUAACUAAUACGGCCCAUACAGCAUAUAACGCAGUCUUCUUCAGAACUUAUUUUUGAAGAAUAUGUAACAACGUGGAAAAAAGCCCACAAUAUAGCUUAGGUGAUUAAAGUUAAUUGUCAAAAUUUUAUUCUUUAACUAACAAUGUAUGCUUAAAAUUUCUUUAUUGUAUAGGGAAGAAAAGACUGGAAGGAAAUAUAUCAAAAUGUUAAAAGAA